RNAcentral lists this ribosomal RNA (868 nucleotides) under uncultured archaeon. Its description in RNAcentral is "bacterial SSU rRNA". It matches the Rfam family "Archaeal small subunit ribosomal RNA", at positions 1 to 878 of the family's 1478-position model. The record is from RNAcentral.
CUCCGGUUGAUCCUGCCGGACCUGACUGCUAUCGGAUUGGUACUAAGCCAUGCGAGUCGUUGUAGCAAUACAAGGCGGACGGCUCAGUAACACGUAGUCAACCUAACCUAUGGACGUGGAUAACCUCGGGAAACUGAGAAUAAACCGCGAUAGAUCAUUAUGCCUGGAAUGGCUUAUGGUCCAAACAGUUUACUGCCAUGGGAUGGGACUGCGGCCUAUCAGCUUGUUGGUGAGGUAAUGGCCCACCAAGGCUAUAACAGGUACGGGCUCUGAGAGGAGAAGCCCGGAGAUGGGUACUGAGACACGGACCCAGGCCCUAUGGGGCGCAGCAGGCGAGAAACCUUAGCAAUGUGCGAAAGCACGACUGGGUCAGUCCGAGUGAUUCCUGAUAAAGGAGUCUUUUAUCUGUCCUAAAAGCACAGGUGAAUAAGGGGUGGGCAAGUCUGGUGUCAGCCGCCGCGGUAAUACCAGCACCUCGAGUGGUCAGGACGUUUAUUGGGCCUAAAGCAUCCGUAGCCGGCUUUGCAAGUCUCCGGUUAAAUCCACCUGCUCAACAGAUGGGCUGCUGGAGAUACUACAAAGCUAGGGAGUGGGAGAGGCAGACGGUAUUCAGUGGGUAGGGGUAAAAUCCUUUGAUCCAUAGAGGACCGCCAGUGGCGAAGGCGGUCUGCCAGAACACGUUCGACGGUGAGGGAUGAAAGCUGGGGGAGCAAACCGGAUUAGAUACCCGGGUAGUCCCAGCUGUAAACGAUGCAAACUCGGUGAUGCAUUGGCUUAUGGCCAAUGCAGUGCCGCAGGGAAGCCGUUAAGUUUGCCGCCUGGGAAGUACGGACGCAAGUCUGAAACUUAAGGAAAUGGCGGGGGAGCA